CAAGGGAUGUGUAGCUUUUUCAAUCCUGGCCAUAAUAUUCUCCUUCAUGCACUUCUCCGUGUCCUUUCUCCUUUCAUUAAGUAAAAUGGAGAUGAUCCCUAAGGACAUCUUGGAAGCCAUAUUUGAAGAUGGUAGAGCCUUGGGCCCCACUUAACUGCUCAAAGACUGGGGAGUGGGAGCCGUUUCAUCAGCACGUUCAGCCACAGAACGCUGUUAGGUGAGCAAAAAACCGGUUGUCUGAGCCAACGCCCGUUUGUCUAUGGGUUGCAGCAGUUGGUCCGCCUAACUAAGGAAGUGCUGAGAGCGGAGGACGUGGAACGACACCAUGCUAAGGUACACGGCGCCUUCCCGGAGGUACAGGAGAGGAUCCAAGUAGCACUCCAGCAAUACAUUCCCAAGGCCCAUGGCCCUGACUCAAGGCAGGCUAAUAAAAGCUAAGAUGCAGCAUUCUAGAAACCCUGAGCUCAACUCUAGCCUGUGCCGACAUCCUGACUUUCAAACCCAUUGGUUUCCAAAAGGAAAAAAGGUUUCAAGCUUUCCAUUCACGGCUGCAUUCAAAAGUAAACUUCUAGAGACAAUGUCCUUGCUUUUAUUGUCCAAAUCAAAGGCACGACUCUCAAGAUGGAAAAACAGAAGGGAAAUUAUCUGGCAGAUACUUUGUGACAAGUGUCAUAAAAGAAGAAAAGACCAAUUCAUCAACAGUGCUUUCAGGGUGGGCUCAGUAGCUCACAGCUGUAAUCCCAGCACUUUGAGAGACCAAGGUGGAAGUAUUGCUUGAGGCUAGAAGUUUGAGAUAAGCCUGGCCAACAUAGCAAGACCUCCAUCUCUAUAAAACAAGACAAAAGAAAAAAGACAAAAAAAAAAAAAAAAAAAAAAAAGGAUUGCUUUCAUUUUCCCAGAAGGGGCUGCACUUUGAAAUAAAAAGUAGUUUGAAUUCCAUGCCUGUCUUAGUCCAUUUUGUGUUGCUACAGCAGAAUACCUGGGUAAUUUACCAUGAACAGAAAUUUAUGUUCUCACAGUUCUGGAGGCUGGGAAGUCCAAGAUCAAGGCUCUGGC
RNAcentral lists this long non-coding RNA (1056 nucleotides) under Callithrix jacchus (white-tufted-ear marmoset). RNAcentral's name for it is "lncRNA (ENSCJAG00000081770.1)". Lineage: Eukaryota; Metazoa; Chordata; Mammalia; Primates; Cebidae. The record is from RNAcentral.